Molecule: ribosomal RNA, 378 nt
Filed under: uncultured bacterium
Lineage: Bacteria
Description: bacterial SSU rRNA
Rfam family: Bacterial small subunit ribosomal RNA
Source: RNAcentral
AGACGUAGGGCGCAAGCGUUGUCCGGAUUUAUUGGGCGUAAAGAGCUCGUAGGCGGCCUGUCGCGUCGAUCGUGAAAGUCCACGGCUCAACUGUGGGAUUGCGGUCGAUACGGGCAGGCUAGAGUGCGGCAGGGGAGACUGGAAUUCCUGGUGUAGCGGUGAAAUGCGCAGAUAUCAGGAGGAACACCGGUGGCGAAGGCGGGUCUCUGGGCCGUUACUGACGCUGAGGAGCGAAAGCGUGGGGAGCGAACAGGAUUAGAUACCCUGGUAGUCCACGCUGUAAACGUUGGGCGCUAGGUGUGGGGACCCUUCCCGGGUUUCUGUGCCGUAGCUAACGCAUUAAGCGCCCCGCCUGGGGAGUACGGCCGCAAGGCUAAA